GGGGAAUUUUCCGCAAUGGGCGCAAGCCUGACGGAGCAACGCCGCGUGAGGGAGGAAUGUCUGUGGAUUGUAAACCUCCUUUCUCUGUGAAGAAGAUCUGACGGUACCUGAGGAAUCAGCAUCGGCUAACUCCGUGCCAGCAGCCGCGGUAAGACGGAGGAUGCAAGCGUUAUCCGGAAUUAUUGGGCGUAAAGCGUCCGUAGGUGGUUUAUCAAGUCUGUUGUUAAAGCUCACAGCUCAACUGUGAAUCGGCAAUGGAAACUGAAAGACUAGAGUGUGGUAGGGGUAGAGGGAAUUCCUAGUGUAGCGGUGAAAUGCGUAGAUAUUAGGAAGAACACCAGUGGCGAAGGCGCUCUACUGGGCCAUAACUGACACUGAUGGACGAAAGCUAGGG
This 394-nucleotide ribosomal RNA is filed under the name uncultured cyanobacterium. RNAcentral's name for it is "bacterial SSU rRNA". It matches the Rfam family "Bacterial small subunit ribosomal RNA", at positions 356 to 765 of the family's 1533-position model. Lineage: Bacteria; Bacillati; Cyanobacteriota. The record is from RNAcentral.